RNAcentral lists this ribosomal RNA (253 nucleotides) under uncultured bacterium. RNAcentral describes it as "partial 16S ribosomal RNA". It matches the Rfam family "Bacterial small subunit ribosomal RNA", at positions 524 to 776 of the family's 1533-position model. The record is from RNAcentral.
UACGUAGGGGGCAAGCGUUGUCCGGAUUUAUUGGGCGUAAAGAGCGUGUAGGCGGCCAGGUAGGUCUGCUGUGAAAACUCGAGGCUCAACCUCGAGAUGUCGGCGGAAACCAUCUGGCUAGAGUCCGGAAGAGGAGAAUGGAAUUCCCGGUGCAGCGGUGAAAUGCGCAGAUAUCGGGAAGAACACCCGUGGCGAAGGCGGUUCUCUGGGACGGUACUGACGCUGAGACGCGAAAGCGUGGGGAGCGAACAGG